GUUAAUGUAGCAAAAUUUGGUCAUGCAGAAGAUCUAAGUCCUUCCAACAGGGGUUCAAAUCCCCUCACUAACU
RNAcentral lists this transfer RNA (73 nucleotides) under Mantella baroni. RNAcentral's name for it is "tRNA-Leu". It matches the Rfam family "tRNA". Rfam says of the family: Transfer RNA (tRNA) molecules are approximately 80 nucleotides in length. Their secondary structure includes four short double-helical elements and three loops (D, anti-codon, and T loops). Further hydrogen bonds mediate the characteristic L-shaped molecular structure. tRNAs have two regions of fundamental functional importance: the anti-codon, which is responsible for specific mRNA codon recognition, and the 3' end, to which the tRNAs corresponding amino acid is attached (by aminoacyl-tRNA synthetases). tRNAs cope with the degeneracy of the genetic code in two manners: having more than one tRNA (with a specific anti-codon) for a particular amino acid; and 'wobble' base-pairing, i.e. permitting non-standard base-pairing at the 3rd anti-codon position. The record is from RNAcentral. Lineage: Eukaryota; Metazoa; Chordata; Amphibia; Anura; Mantellidae.